RNAcentral lists this ribosomal RNA (253 nucleotides) under uncultured bacterium. Its description in RNAcentral is "partial 16S ribosomal RNA". It matches the Rfam family "Bacterial small subunit ribosomal RNA", at positions 524 to 776 of the family's 1533-position model. The record is from RNAcentral.
UACGUAGGGGGCAAGCGUUAUCCGGAUUUACUGGGUGUAAAGGGAGCGUAGACGGCGAUGCAAGUCUGAAGUGAAAGGCGGGGGCCCAACCCCCGGACUGCUUUGGAAACUGUAUGGCUGGAGUGCAGGAGAGGUAAGUGGAAUUCCUAGUGUAGCGGUGGAAUGCGUAGAUAUUAGGAGGAACAUCAGUGGCGAAGGCGACUUUCUGGACUGUAACUGACGCUGAGGCACGAAAGUGUGGGGAGCAAACAGG